AUUGAACGCUGGCGGCAGGCUUAACACAUGCAAGUCGAGCGAGCGGCGGACGGGUGAGUAAUGUCUGGGAAACUGCCUGAUGGAGGGGGAUAACUACUGGAAACGGUAGCUAAUACCGCAUACCAUCAGAUGUGCCCAGAUGGGAUUAGCUAGUAGGUGGGGUAAUGGCUCACCUAGGCGACGAUCCCUAGCUGGUCUGAGCGGAUGACCGUCUAACCUGGAAAUGAGACACGAUCCAGACUUCUAGGAGAUGCAGCAGUGGGGAAUAUUGCACAAUGGGCGCAAGCCUGAUGCAGCCACGCCGCGUGUGUGAAGAAGGCAUUCGGGUUGUAAAGCACUUUCAGCGAGGAGGCGUUACUCGCAGAAGAAGCACCGGCUAACUCCGUGCCAGCAGCCGCGGUAAUUC
RNAcentral lists this ribosomal RNA (406 nucleotides) under uncultured bacterium. RNAcentral describes it as "partial 16S ribosomal RNA". It matches the Rfam family "Bacterial small subunit ribosomal RNA", at positions 30 to 526 of the family's 1533-position model. The record is from RNAcentral.